UACGGAGGGAGCUAGCGUUGUUCGGAAUUACUGGGCGUAAAGCGCACGUAGGCGGCUAUUCAAGUCAGAGGUGAAAGCCCGGGGCUCAACCCCGGAACUGCCUUUGAAACUAGAUAGCUAGAAUCUUGGAGAGGUCAGUGGAAUUCCGAGUGUAGAGGUGAAAUUCGUAGAUAUUCGGAAGAACACCAGUGGCGAAGGCGACUGACUGGGCAAGUAUUGACGCUGAGGUGCGAAAGCGUGGGGAGCAAACAGG
Molecule: ribosomal RNA, 253 nt
Filed under: uncultured bacterium
Lineage: Bacteria
Description: partial 16S ribosomal RNA
Rfam family: Bacterial small subunit ribosomal RNA
Source: RNAcentral